GAUAUGGUCAUUACACAUGAGGAAACAUUAAGAGUGUACUGCACAACCUUCUAUGGACAGACCUAUGGGUGCAUAUAUAGUCAGAAUUUCAUCCUCUUCCAAAGAUUGCAAGGAACAAUAUCUGUACAUACAGUAUUCAGUUGGUAGCCAACACAGCAAUUUCAGAGACAGAUGGAUCACUUAGCCAGACUCUUGGAAGGAGAGAAAUUAUGAGAUGGCACUAACAGCACAGAUACAUAUUUUUACAAACUCAGGAAAACAAUGAUUCAAUUAGAGAAGCUAUUCACUAACGGUAUACAUACAUAUUCAGUAAGACCAUGAUUCAAGGCUGCCCACGGUACGGUCCAGGAAGCAGGCAUAGGCCACAUUAACUUCAUCUUUUGCCUACAUCAAGAAAUAGUUCUUCCAAUGAGACAUUAACUUCAUUUGUUAAAGUUAUUCACUGAGAUGCCACUCCUCUAUUUCCAUUUCCUUCUUAUUUGUAGUGUUUCUCUAACAACACGGUGAUGCUUUUGUGAAAAAUGAUUAGGAUCUGACCGCAAUAAUCUGACAUUGCUAUCCAUGUAGUCCACAAAUUUGGCCUAAUCAGAAAGAGUCACCGCACACAACCUAUAUUGCAGAAGGCUGUAACCACAUGAUGACCAAUUUGUCACCUGUUCCAAGACAUGUGGGCCUUAAAAAAUCUGAAUUAACAAAAAAUCUUGCUUAACCAAAGGAAGCACACACCGCCAAAUGAGACCACAAUGGAAAUUAGGAAACACAACAUCUUUAAAAUUAGAAUUAGUAGAGAAAAAAAUGUACCUGUAAUACUUUUAUUUACAAAGCAUGUAAAGAGGUAAAAAUACUACAUCUUGAAACACUGAAAGAGUUCAACUUAAACAAAUCUUUAAGUAUAUCCGGGCAACUCUAUAUUGCCAAAGAAAAUUACUAAACAUACAUUCCUAAUCUUGGUCACAGGACAACUGUCUAGCUAGUCAAUUGCUUGUAUACUUGUGUCUCCUUUAUUUCUGAACAUGCAAUGCAUGGCGAGCUCUCAGCUGGCUCUCUAAUAUACAACUCCACUCAUCUGCUAAACAAAACUAAACUCUAGGCACAACCUCUCAUGGGCAAGUGAUGCAUCACAGGACUUUCCUCCGAAAAUAGUUGCCUCCAUUCAGCAACUGCUAGUUUCAAAUUGACGCCUAAUCAUAACAUACUACUGAUUAUCUCUGAAAGUUUAAUUUGUUCAUGGUGCAAUUGGCGGUGAGAAUAUAAAAUUUAUUGGAGCCUAAAUAAUACUUCAGUUUACAGGAUGCCUAUUUGAUGUUAUAGGAAAGGAUAUUUAUUUCAGCUUACAGUUUACGAGAGCUGGUUCUGCAUUUGACAUAUUUAAGCUCAUAAUGGUUGUAGCUGGCUACUGCCUGUUCUUUUUAGCAAACAUUGAAAAAAGUUUCUAUAGGAAAUCCGGGACAUCUUUUGUUGUGUUUGAAGAAAAAGGUUCCAAUCAUUUAACCCUCCAAAUAAGUAGAUGGCGCAAAUGUCUCCUGUGUAUGAUAAUUGAAAGUCAUCUAAUCUGGAUAUCUUUGGUUGUUCAAAAAAAAAGAAAAAAAAUCUGAACAUCCUUGGUUGUGGUCAGAUUUCUUGACUAUGUCCCAUUGGUAUGUAGCUAGCUUAUCUUGCUAUUUUUGUAUACCUGUUUCUGGUUGAUCUCUAAGGCCAAAGAUGCUAUUCAUACGUACUGGCUUAUUUUAAUAUUGUUUAUUUUUCCCCUUCCAUGGUUUAGCUGCUACUACACCACGAAUUACUAUAAUCCUAUAUAAUGCACACUGGGGAAAAAUAUAAGCAUAUAAUCCUACAUAAUGCACAUUGGGGAAAAAAAUAUAAGCAUAUAAUCCUACACAAUGCACAUUCGAGAAAAUAUAAGCAAUCUUCGCUAUUUCAGAAUAGGACAUAAAAAGCAUGAAAGAUCGCUGCAUUACUUAAGAAAGUGUCAAAUAUGCAAUUUCCUCUUCAGAAGACAUAGAGGCAGCAAAUAUGAUAGCUAUAAGGAACCUAAUAAUUGGAAAUGAAAAAUAAUAGGAAUCCAUAUUAUAUCUGGCAUUCUGCCAAAUCGAAGCCUAGACUACGAUAAAUCCAGCGCCAGUUGUCAAACAUUGUAACUACUGAUAUCAUCUACUAAACAAAGUAGGUAACCUCUACGAAAUAGGUAAUACUAUUAGCCAGCUCCAACUGGGGGGGGGGGGGGGGUAAUGUUAAGUCUAGCAGAUUGAUUAAUUCAAAUGCCAACCAAGACCUUUUUUAUGUGGAGUUACUCAUGAUUACUAAAACAUAGGAAUUGAGCACAUCUUUCUAAUAUAUUCUUUAAAUCGCAGCAAUGCAUGAGAACUGUUACAUAAUUCUUGAUUACAGAUUUAGGCCUACAUCAAAGUCUAUGUAAAGAAGAAAAGGUGUAUAUAAACCAUAGAGAUUAAACAAAAACUAUUUUUAAUGAAAGCACAAAAACUUGAGUGCACAAAAAAUAGUACACACCUGCACAAGCUAGACAUAGAUCUGUAUUUCUUUUGAGUGGUCUGCACAGAAUAAAUUGAAGAAUACAAUAACUGAAUAUAACCAAAAACUUGUCAGUUUGCACACAUCAAAAUUCAGAACUCUUGCUAUUCAAAACACUUUCUAUCCCUGAUUCAAGAACAAGCAAAAUAGCUAUAACCUGUGAGCAUAAAAACAAUUUGACCACAUGACCAAUUUGAAUGAUGAUCCAUACAGUAAAGGCUUGAUUACCUAUCAUAUAAAAUAAAAUUUAGCUAGCAACGCACAUUUUAUUCCUUAGAGCAUACUUCCUAUAAAAAUCAUAAUAGUUCACCUGAACCUAGAACACUUUAGCAGCUCUUGAUGCUGUCAGCUUAUCUAUAGCAUGUUUUAGAAAAUAGGUGUCAAAGUAUAAAGGACCUUACACUUUGGAGGCGUAAGUAAUGUUCUCUUCAAAGACUGUGUGGUUCGGCUCAUUCCUGCGUCCACCUUAUAUUGUAUUACAUAUAAGAUAUCAAAUUCAGAAAGGAAUCCAUCAGCAAGCAUAGUUUUACAGAGCCUCCUCUGAAAAAAGAUAAGCAAUGAGAUUCUUUACAUGAGUAACCACCUUUUCUUUAUGAAUCCUCUUGCUGAACUAUAUGACUUUCUUAACCACCACCCUCACCCUGAUUAUGUACAUGAGGUGGACUUUUAUACUUAACUAAGUACUAUCAAUUAUUCAAUCCGUUCAGAUGUCAUGAGAUAAGCAACAAUGAUGAAAGCACUACAGUAAAUUUGAAUUAAAUGAUAUUAAAUAAAUAUACAGAGAUGCAGAAGAGAGUUGACAGUCUUGUGCUAAGCAAUAUACUAAAUAGAGAUGCUACAUGGGUAAGGUCAAAUUCCAAUUUGGAAUUAUCAAACAGGCAACAACUUAUGCCAAGUGGUUUGUGUCACAAACAUUAAAUUUCAUCGCGCUAGCAAAUUGUUCUGUCAAAUUUGACACCUUCAAAUCAAAUUGCUGCUGCUAUGCUAUUACUACCACGCCCAACCUAAUUCUAUAACAAUAUGUCAGUUUGUAUCCCAGUUCUAACAGAUUUAAGUAGACAAGAGCAAUAAGUAUGCUAUUCUUUUUCCUGCAGAUCUAAUAAAAAUAUGAAUAGAUGUAAGCACAUCAAAUUAAAACUAAACAUGCUAUACUCUGCAUAUGUACAUUAAGGCUUACAUAUCCAAAGUGAAAGUGCAUUUAAACAAUUUUAGAGCAUUUAGAUCUAACAAACGUAUAGGAAAAAAUCGACAAUUACCACUACACCACAGCCCAAAUAUAGCAUCGCCCGAUGGGUCGUUAUAAGCCGUUUCAGCGUCAUAUGGUCGGUCGUUAUAAACUUAUAACGACAAAUAUAUCAACCGUUAAUAGUGGCGACGUUAUAAACAUUUAACGUCGGACCGACAUCUAACGUCGGACCGUCUGACCUUAAGUAAAAGAUAUAACGACCGACUCUCUGCCGUUUUUAAUAAACUUAUAACGACGCAUCGUCUGAUGAUAUAUAUUUAUAGCGACCCACUGUCCGUCACUAUGCAUACAAAUAUUUACCACAUAAUAUGAUGUGUUGUUCAUAUGUUAACCAUACAAUCAACAGUGUCAUGUCAUACAUUCAAACAAUAUAAUACAUAAUCAUGAAACACAUGUAAACUGGACCAAAUAAAGCUCACAAGUUAUAUUAAAGCCAUCAUAUCACAAUGUGUCAUGCCAUUUACAUACAAUUCAUGGCAUAGAAAAGCUAAGCUAAAAUAAGCUUGGCCAAAAUGCAAGAGGUAUUUAGUUUCACAACCCAAGUCUCAUAGUUCGCUUCCACUCUUUACAAAAUGAUCCACCUCUAGUAAGUCAAACCCAAGUUUUCAUCUAUAGCUAAAAUGACCAAAACAUUUUGUCAUGAGCACUUUGAUCCAAUCAUUGGCUGCAUUCUACUUCCAGCUACUUCUUCCCACUACCUGUAAAUAAAAGUUGAAAUUCAUCAAAAAGAAAUACAACAGUGGACAAAGGUUCAUAAAAAAUAAAAUAAAAAUAAACCAUGGUUGCACAUUGGACAUAUAGUUAACUGACAUUAAUUCAAUGUUAUCUGAAAAGAUGGUUUGAAACAAGCAUCCAUCUAUCUAUACACUCAUAAAGUAUAACAAAUAAGAAGCAAAUCAGUAGCACCUAUGUUUUCUAGGUUGAAGAUAUGUACAAAGGUUCAACAAGCUAUAUGAUGGAAAAAAUUUAGAAUAGCACACCUGUUCCAUGGGAUGGUUUUUUAGGCUUACAUUUCUUGAUCUGUUAGACAUAUCAAUGAUUAGAAAAUCUAGGCACUCAUUACAUAUGAAAACAACAAAGAAUGACAAGUGUAGUUACCCUAUUAUAUGGCCAUGCAAUUGACAGGUCCUUAGCAUCUGCCAUCUCUUGCACACCAGGAUAUGGGCGAGGUAGCUUUGCAUCCCUUUUCAUCACAAACCUGAUAACAACUUCACAGUAUUUCCUUCCAAGAGCAUGUCCUGCGUGCAUGGUGCUAGGAUUAACUGAAAUAACUAUUCCCUUGGCCACAGGUUCAUCUCUAUGGAGUGCAUGGAGUAUAACUUCUUUGCCAAUCUGAAUUAAACAAUGUAUUUAUGAGAAUUGUAUUCAUUAAAAAACACCAUUGAACUAGAAGCAAAACAAAAUGAAAAAUGAUGAGAACAUUACAAGGUCAGCAUGUGAGUUGUGAUUUGCAUCACCAUUCCUUGGUGGGCCUGCACCAUCAGAGCUAGACUGAGGGCACUGAACAAUUGGGAUAGUAGAAAUGGGGCAAGACUGAGGGGGCUGAACAACUGUGGUUGUAUGAAUGGGGUUAGAGUGAGGGCGCUGCAUAGAUGAGGCUGCAGGAAAUGUGUUGGGCUGCACAAAUGGAGAGCUGUCGGACAGGUGAGGCUGCUGGACUGGUGUUGCUGAGUUGGUCCUACGCACAAGCACAUAUUCAUACUCAUUAGAGUUAUCUGCAUAGGCACCAUCUUCAUGAAAUUCAGCAUCAUCGUGUGUCUCGACAUAAAUUUCUCCAGAUCUUGGGCUCUAUAGACAUAAAAAUGGGGAAUUAGAGCCAUUUUGGAGCAAGACAAAAAGAACUUAGAAAAAACUUAUGUGAAAUCAGAAACUACUUGGGGUGCAGAUAGGUCAUAGGUGUUUAACAUAGUAACAGAUGAUUUCUGUUAUGUGCCAAUUAUGUGGCCACAAAAUCAAGGACUGACAAUUCAAUCAGAGAAUGUACAAAUAGUUUACCUCAUGGUGUCGUGAGUUAGAGUCAUUCUGGGAGAUAUUUUCCAUAUUAGACCUUUCACGCGCCAAUUCAGCUUCUAAUUCUGCUAUGCGUUGUUUUAGAGCUGCUUGGUGACUUUCUUUCCUUCUACAUUCUAGAACUUGCAUUUGAACCCUUGUUGGUGUGUAACCCUUGACUCCUAGUGUACCAAUAGUUUGGGGAGUUGGUCCUAGACCCAAAACCCGAACUCACCCUUUUGGUUCCUUUUUUCCACAGGCAAUAGCAAAUGCAUCGCCUUCUUGGAUGGUUCUUUGUGUCAGUUCUGGUUGGGCUUCAAUAACUGCCUUAAGUUUAUUCUACACAAACAGAAUAUCAUUAUUAAUAUGCCAAAACCUAUAUUUCAAAUGGUGAUAUUUGUUCAAAGAAAAACUUACUAUAAUUGGUUCUGCAUUCCUCGAUGCAAUUCCAUUUUUUCUUGUAUGUGUUUUGAUAUAGAGUUCGUCCCUUCGAGGAGGGCGCCCUAGUUUAAUAGCCUACAAGUGUUUUACUUUUAGUACUUAAGAAAUGAAGCACGUUACAUAUUGAAAAAUAGGUAUAGUUAACAUACUAGUUCAUGCCCGUUACAAGCAAAGCUCUUGGUACCCGUUGUAUGAUGUAUGGACAACUUUGCACGGUUUGCUUUGGCAAUUUCAGUUUGUGCCUAUGAUAGAUAUACAGUUGUAUGAGAAAGAUCACUACAAGCAGCAACCAACAAGUAGCAAAGAUGGUUGUAACUAGCAAAUAGAAACUAGGGGUAGUACUUACUUCAGAUUCUGGAGAUGACCAAUGGUUUUUGAGAAAGUUCCAAUCAUCAUCAUUCAGUCUUUUGCCUUGUUUUGUCCUUAUUUUUUGUUCUGUUAUUUCGCCUUUCAAAAACUGUUUCUUCAAGUUUGCUUUAAAAUCCUUCCAUUUCUUUCCAGCAGCAGUCAAAAACCAGUCAAAGGCUUUAUCAUCAAUAUCAAAGAAUUCCUAGUGUGUAGAGAAAAAUUAGCAAAUGAGUUCUAAUCAUGAAGUGAGAAAACAAUGCAGCCUACAAAUAAAACUAGAGCUGCUCCAUAAUGGAUGCACUAUGAAGUGAAAAUAAUUGCAUGCUAGAAAUACCUUCAUGUCUAUCCAUACUUCAUCCUUUAUGUGAGGAUCAACAAGCCUCCAAUCAGCACAAGCAAUUGAUAUUUUCUGUCUUACACGGACCCCAACAGCACCAGAAAACCUCCUAGCAUUGUCACCAAUGGGCUGACCAUGUGCAUUGACCAUAACUUUGAUUUUAGGCAUUUCAGGUUUCCUUGCAAAGACUUCAUCCAAUCUACUGAUACCUCUUCCAUUCCUCUUCUCUUGUGAAUUGCAGUGAAAGUCUGCUAUAAAUAACUAGAGAAAUUAGAAGCAGGCAUAAUAAAAAUCUGCUAUAAAUAACUUGACAAAAUCUGUUGUGAUAUACAAGACCUUCAUUAUCACAUAAAAAACCGCCAGUUGACUCAUAUUCCCAAUCAUCUUCCGAUAAACCUUCUUCAGCUAAUUUUUCUUCAGCUAAAUCUUCUUCAACUUGCUCAUUCACAUUUAUUGCAUGCCUUGUUUGUGGCCUUGGCCGUAGAUUAUGAACCCGGGUUGCAUCAACACAUGUUUUACGAGUACUCUAAAAGGUAGUAGAUAUCAGCAGUAUUAAAUGAGCAAAAUCAUUUUAGUAGAACCAUUUAUAUAAGAGAUUACCUUUGCUCUUUUCCUAGGUUGUUCUUUGCAUGUAUUCAUAGGAGGGAUUCCAAGUGAUGCCAGCAUCUCGUUGUUGAGUGCAACAUUUUCAUCCCUAUCCUGCUCAUACUCAGUUAGUUGGUCAUUGUUACUUCUUCCUCUUGCGCUUGCCAUUUGUUUUCCUGAAAAAUGACCCAAACAUCAACAAUCUAUAUGGAAGGGAUCAAUAAAACAAUCAAUAACAAAUAUCUGCAAUAGGCAUCACUUAAACAACACUUACUUUCUAGGCUUUUUAGGCUUUUGGAGAAAAACAAGUGUUCCAUCUAUAUCAGUUCUAACAGAAGGAACCACCCCAUUUACAAUGUCGACUGUCACAUUUGCACUUAGAUCAUAUAAUGGCCAUGCUAAUCCAUUAUUAUUAUCCAUGUGUUCAUUCUCUAAAUUAUCUAAGUCAUUGUGACUUUAGAAUGCUAAUCCAUUAUUGUUGCCUCAGCGACUACAGCCACCCCACUAUUUUGAAUAGGUCUUCCCUUAUCAUAGGGUUCUGUGUGGAAACAGAAUCCAUUAAUACUAUAGCUACUAUACUUGCAUACAUUCAACAUUGGCCCCUUGGCCAAAAUUUUUAUCUCAUCUGGUGCUUCCUCACACAUUUCUCCCACCUGUGAUUAUGAAAGACUGCUAUUAAAAUGUGUAAAAUCUAUCACAAAUAGCAAGUCCUAAGUUUUACUUUCACUUACAUGCAACAUUAACCACUCAUGAAAGGAUUCAUGACGCAUCCGGUUGAUGUCACGUUUAUUUCGAUGGCCAAUAGAGGAAAGAUAUUGAUCAUGCUUGCUGCAAAAGUUAUUGUGACUUUAGAAUGCAGGGGAAUUUGAUUAUAUAUGAUGCAAGUGGUUUUCCUAACUUACUCCAAGUAAGGCGCAAUGUUUUCAUGGUUGAACAAAACAUAUCUAUGAGCUUGCACCCAUGUCUUGUGGUCUAAACAAAAUGUGCAUUUUCCAGCCAAGCCUUGACCAAUGCUACGGAAGAAAGGAGGUGUACGAUCAUCUUCUUCUAUUCUAGGUUGACGGCUAAUUUGUCCCACGCCAUGUAGGUAGCGAGCACAAAGUGUAAGGAACCCAGUAAAAUUAGACCACUCCAUAAUUGAUCCCUCAGGAUGACUUUUUGUACGUACAGAACCCUUUAAUCUCAUGAGAAACCUAUAGACAUAAAUAACAGGCAUAUUAAUUGAUAAUGGUAUAUAACUAGUAGGUUUGUAUACAUAUUCAGUAAGACACAUGGCCUAAGAUAUAAGUACCUCUCCACGGGCCACAUGCUGCGAAAAUGGACUGGACCAGCUAUUUUUGCUUGGGCAGGAAGAUGUACCAUCAAGUGUACCACAAUGUCGAAGAAAGAUGGAAGAAAUAUAGUCUCAAGCAGGCUCAAGGUUUCAGCUAUGUCAGCCUGUAGACUAUCCAUAUCACUUAUUCGAAUGACAGGGGUAGAAAGUUUCUUGAAAAAGUUGGAUAUACGAAUCACUCCCGCACUGACUAUUUCUGGUAGUAUUUUUCUCACAGCAAGUGGCAGCAAAUGUUGUAGAAUAAUGUGGCUCUCAUGACUCUUAAGCCCGAAUACCUUCCUCUCAUUGACAUGUACAUUAUGUCGUGUAUUGGAUGCAUAACCAUCAGGAAACUUCACCCCUUUUAGUACAUGACAAAAUAAUUUCAUCUCAUCAGGACUCAUUGAGUAGGGUGCUGGUGGUAAAUAAAAUUGGUCCUCUACUUCAAUUGGGUGAAGAUCAGUUCUAAGACCUAGAGCUUGAAGAUCUAAGCGAGAAUUCAAAUUAUCCUUUGACUUCCCAACAGUGCCCAAGAAUGUGUUCACUAAACUUUCACUGACAUUUUUGCCUAUGUGCAUAAAGUCAAAAUUAUGUCGCAACAUCAAAUCUUUCCAAUAUGGAAGCUUGAACCAAAUUGAUCUUCUUUUGAAAAUGACUAAUGGUUCACCUUCCUUGCGUUUCUUUCUUGCUAGUUUCUUCCCAGAUGGAUCCUUGCCAAAAUUAGUACUAAGGUCUUUAGUGCACUCCAAAAUUUCCUCUCCAGAAAGUGGUUUAGGUGCAGGUCUGAACUCAGUUUUACCGCCAAAUUUAUUGGCAUCAAACCUAAAUGGAUGAUUUUCAUGCAAGAAUCUCCUAUGACCCAGAUAGCAAGUCUUGGUACCAUUACCAAGUCUAAUUGAAUCAGUAGACAAGUGGCAAUCAGGACAUGCUGCUUCACCAGAUGUGACAGAGCCAGACACAUAUCCUAGACCUGGGAAAUCAGUAAUAGUCCCCAAUACCGCUGCUCGUAACUGGAAGUACUCAUCCCUAGAAGCAUCAUAAGUUCUAACACCAUUUUCAAACAUAUCUAACAAGUCAUUGACAUGUGGCUGACAAAAGAGAUCAAAAUCACCACAAGGAGAAUCUUUCCCAGGAGUCAGAAAAGACAAGAUGAAAUUUGAUUGCUUCAUGCACAUUGAAGGUGGGAAAUUGUAGGGUAUACAAAUACCAGGCCAAAUGCUGUAGCUAUUAUUCAUUGUUCUAAACGGAUUGAAGCCAUCGGUGGCAAAUGCAAGACGAAUAUUACGGCUAUCUGCAGCAAAGAUUGGAUGCUUUUUAUCGAUGUCCUCCCACAGAGGGGAAUCUGCAGGAUGCGUUAGGAGCCCAUCUUUUUUCCGGUCUUCAUCAUGCCACCUCAUCAGGCUUGCUGUUUUAGAGGACAUAAAUAACCUUUGGAGACACUUCUUUAUUGGAAAGUAGCGAAGAACCUUCUUGGGAACAUUAUAUACAUGUUUCCCGUCUAGAGUCUUUCUUGUUGAUUUCCACCGUGAAGCCUUACACUUUGGACAUGAAUUCAAAUUUAUGUUCUCCUUCCAAUAGAGAAUGCAAUCAUUUUCACACACAUGAAUACUAAUAUACCCAAUUCCUAUGGAUUUCACCAAUUUCUUAGCUUCAUAAAAGGUUUUCGCUAGUGCUGAACCAUCAGGGAGUGCAUCAUUGAGUAGGUCUAGCAGCAAGUUAAAAGAUUUAUCAGGCCAUCCUCCAAGGAGUUUGAUGUGUAGUAAUCUAAUAAGAAAUCGGAGUUGGGUAUAUUUCUUGCAAGUAGGGUAUAGUUCCUUAAUAUUUUCUUCGACCAACUUUUGAAUGGCAACUAGCUCCUCACAAGGAUCUAGAGCAGGACUAUUGUCCUCAAAAUCACCUCUAUCAUCUAAGCCACCAGCUAAGUCCCUAAGCAAACCAGAGAUGUCAUCAUCUUCAUCAGACUCAUCCAUAACCUCAACACCAUCUCCAUCACCGUCACUGUCACAAUUCUCAUGAUUCACAGAAGAUGUGAGUUCUCCAUGCAAAUUCCAUGUUCUAUAUCCUUUUAGGAACCCAUCACAAAUUAGGUGUUCACGGACUUCACUAGCCUCAUUCCAAAAAGAGUUGGAGCACUAUCUACAAGGACAUAGUAUCUUGCUACCCAUAGCUGCAUUACUAAAUGCAAAAGCUAAAAAAUGGUUCACCCCCUGCAAAUAUGCCUUGCCGUGCCUACAUGAUAGUUUUAUGUUAAAAAGCCACUCUAUCUAUGUAUACCCUUUUCAGUAUUUGUUAAGUCACUGUAUUUACCUAGCAUCAUCAUCAAUCCAAGAUUUAUCCAUCAGCUUUUACUAGGGACAACCAGAAGCUGACCAAAUAGACUCUAAAAAUAUAAACACAAAAGUAGAUCAUGGCAUCAAAUUCAAGCACAUUGUGCAUACAUAUCGUCAAUCGCAUUCAACAUAAGAUUCCAUGGAAGACAAGCAUCAACAACUAUAGUGAAGCGGUAGAGAGCACUUUACCUGAUGAUACUCCUAAGUCUAAUCCACGAGCUGGCUCCUAAUGCUUGGUGAGAAGGUGUCUGUAGUUGCUACGGCUUUUCUUAGGGCAAAGAUCCAAGGAGCUACUUCUUCUUGUUGGCUACCAUAGAGAAAACCAUAGAUCAAUGAUUUAGGUAACAAAUCUCAAAUAUGUACAGAAAAAACAAGCUUACAUCUUAAAGAACUAUAAUGGUAAUAUGGUUUCAAGAUUCAAUAAGAAAAAGGGACUUCUUCUCAGCUUGCACAUGAACAAGGAACUUAUGUACUAAUUAGCAGCACACAUACUAGCAUGUAAACAAAAAUUAAAAUACCAUUUUAUUUGCAGAUCUGUCAAAUCCAAAUAAAAUAACCAAAAAUGUGGGCAAAUGCACGGAUCUUAUUUUUAGCCUCCUAUUCGAGCAGUACAAACUAACAGCCACAUAGCACUAUGUAAACACAUGUAAAAAUUCAGAACUGUCCAGCAGACUAUUCUAUCUAUAAGCACAGCAUGCCAUACGAAUCCAUCAAGAAAUAUUCCACCAAAAGACAUCAAAACAUAAGAGCAAAUGCACGGAUCUAUACAGGAUAGUACCUGGAUGGUGACCUUCUUGUUGGUCGCUGGCUCCCUGCACAAAGAAACAAGCAGAUCCAUCAGGCCAGAGCACCCUCCCACCAGAGCAUGUGUGCGCCUGUACCAGAGAGAGGGGCGCACCCUUGGGGCAUCUGUGAGGCCGGGCAGCCGGCGGCUGGCCGGGGGCGGUGACAGGGGCCGGUCGUCUGCAGGCGGUGUCAACGACAGGGGCCGGGGGCGGCCGUCUGCUGCAGGGGGCGGUGAAGGGGGCCGAGGGCGCGCGGCGACAGAGGCCGGCCGGGAGCGGGUGCUGGCGGCGGGAGGUGACGGGGCCCGGGGGCGGUCGUCUGCUGCAGGGGGCGGUGACGGGGGCCGGGGGCGCGCGGCGACAGGGGCCGGCCAGGAGCUGGUGCUGGCGGCGGGCGGUGACGGGGGCCGGGGGCGCGCGGCCGGCCGGGAGCGGGUGCUGGCGGCUGUCUGGCAGGGGAGACUGAGAGAGUGCGGGGGUUAGGGUUUUCAGGCUGAGCGCCCAGGAGAGAGGAGAGGAAAUGGGCUGGCCGCUUGGCGGGCUGGAAUGGCGGGUUCCAUUUUUUUUCUGAUAAGUGGGUCCAUGUUAAAAGGUUAGACGGGAAGCAUUUUAUUUUUGCGUGGGCGAGUGGAGCCGAAUAUUGUGACGUAUGGUGGGUCGUUAAAUGUUGGAUAUAAUGACGCACCAUCCGACGUUAAAAUUAAAAAAGAAUUAACGACCGACGGUCCGUGGUCAAAAUGAGAUAUAGCGACAGACCAUCCAUUACGAAUUUUUAACGUCUAACCUUCCAACGUUAAAUCAUCAUUUUUAACGACCCCCAAGUGACGUUAAUUUUGGGCUAUGGUGUAGUGUACGCACUGGAUCAUGAAAAACAAUAUGCAAUUUCGGCUAAUCCCUAAUCAAACUCUACAUCAAAAUUAUUGUUUUCCAUAGCCAGAUCUCAUUUGCACAACGGAUGAAGAGCAUAAGUGCUAAGAAACAUUCAGUGCAAAAGCACACAGAUCUGCAGGCACAAAUCCAAUAAGCAUGCUCGGUUUCGCACUUUUGCACAACAUGAACGCGCCGACGAGCAAUCCUAGAGGCAGUCUUGUCCAGCGGCAUCGAAGGAUUAGGGUUUGGUGCCCGAUUUUCGCACGUUCACACAACAGGAAGGGAUGAGAAGGGAUUGGCACACCUGGCGAUCCUGCUGCGUCGUGUGGGCGCAGCGACGGUGAUCAUGGAGGCGGCAGCAUCCGGUGGCGUC
This 13145-nucleotide long non-coding RNA is filed under the name Sorghum bicolor (sorghum). RNAcentral's name for it is "long non-coding RNA (SBIC_LNC007921)". Lineage: Eukaryota; Viridiplantae; Streptophyta; Magnoliopsida; Poales; Poaceae. The record is from RNAcentral.